Tupaia belangeri chinensis (Chinese tree shrew) is the source of this 418-nucleotide long non-coding RNA. RefSeq lists it as uncharacterized. The transcript has 3 exons. NCBI's taxonomy places the organism in Eukaryota, Metazoa, Chordata, Mammalia, Scandentia, Tupaiidae. The record is from RefSeq and is a predicted model, not a curated record.
ACUCGGGACAACAGGUGGCCCUGAGCGUGUGCAGAAAUAGACACACGGCCCACGGCUGCGGCGAGGUCACACAGGAAGCGCGAGGAGAGCCCAGCAGGUCCUGGGCGCUCAGGAAAGCUGUUUACUCCUGCUGUCCGCGAUCUCGCCAGGUCCUGCUCACUCCAGGCCCGCGGACCUCAGAAGCAGAACUCCACUUCCGCAUGUACCCGACAGAGGGUGUCCAGGGAGAACGUGGUGAAGUCCCAGCCCCCGUGGCUUCGUCAAUGGGAGCUGAAGGUCAAAUUCAGCGGCAGAGCAGUUCUGCCUCUCAGGGCUGCAGGGAGAGCACCUGCAACCGGAGGUGAGCGGAGUGCAUGUAUCUUGAGGGAAAGUGACAGAGCAAGCCACCAGGUCCAGGACUUGAACUGUGGUCAACUAU